Molecule: transfer RNA, 83 nt
Filed under: Pelatocladus maniniholoensis HA4357-MV3
Lineage: Bacteria; Bacillati; Cyanobacteriota; Cyanophyceae; Nostocales; Hapalosiphonaceae
Also listed under: 7 other names
Description: tRNA-Leu
Rfam family: tRNA
About the family: Transfer RNA (tRNA) molecules are approximately 80 nucleotides in length. Their secondary structure includes four short double-helical elements and three loops (D, anti-codon, and T loops).
Source: RNAcentral
GCGGAACUGGCGGAAUUGGCAGACGCGCUAGAUUCAGGUUCUAGUGUCCACAAGACUUCCGGGUUCAAGUCCCGGGUUCCGCA